AUUGUUAGUUGCCAUCAUUCAGUUGGGCACUCUAGCGAGACUGCCGGUAAUAAACCGGAGGAAGGUGGGGAUGACGUCAAAUCAUCAUGCCCCUUAUGACCUGGGCUACACACGUGCUACAAUGGUUGGUACAACGAGUUGCGAGUCGGUGACGGCGAGCUAAUCUCUUAAAGCCAAUCUCAGUUCGGAUUGUAGGCUGCAACUCGCCUACAUGAAGUCGGAGUCGCUAGUAAUCGCGGAUCAGCACGCCGCGGUGAAUACGUUCCCGGGCCUU
This 274-nucleotide ribosomal RNA is filed under the name uncultured Streptococcus sp. RNAcentral describes it as "partial 16S ribosomal RNA". It matches the Rfam family "Bacterial small subunit ribosomal RNA", at positions 1107 to 1382 of the family's 1533-position model. Lineage: Bacteria; Bacillati; Bacillota; Bacilli; Lactobacillales; Streptococcaceae. The record is from RNAcentral.